Molecule: transfer RNA, 72 nt
Filed under: Podarcis lilfordi (Lilford's wall lizard)
Lineage: Eukaryota; Metazoa; Chordata; Lepidosauria; Squamata; Lacertidae
Rfam family: tRNA
About the family: Transfer RNA (tRNA) molecules are approximately 80 nucleotides in length. Their secondary structure includes four short double-helical elements and three loops (D, anti-codon, and T loops).
Source: Rfam by way of RNAcentral
AGUGUCAUAGCUCAGUGGUGGGGCACCUGCCUUGCAUACAGAAGGUCCCAGGCUCAGUCCCUGGUGUUUCCA